GACGAACGCUGGCGGCGUGCUUAACACAUGCAAGUCGAACGGAAAGGCCCUGCUUUUGUGGGGUGCUCGAGUGGCGAACGGGUGAGUAACACAUGAGUAACCUGCCCUUGACUUUGGGAUAACUUCAGGAAACUGGGGCUAAUACCGGAUAGGAGCUCCUGCUGCAUGGUGGGGGUUGGACAGUUUCGGCGGUUGGGGAUGGACUCGCGGCUUAUCAGCUUGUUGGUGGGGUAGUGGCUUACCAAGGCUUUGACGGGUAGCCGGCCUGAGAGGGUGACCGGCCACAUUGGGACUGAGAUACGGCCCAGACUCCUACGGGAGGCAGCAGUGGGGAAUAUUGCACAAUGGGCGGAAGCCUGAUGCAGCAACGCCGCGUGCGGGAUGACGGCCUUCGGGUUGUAAACCGCUUUCGCCUGUGACGAAGCGUGAGUGACGGUAAUGGGUAAAGAAGCACCGGCUAACUACGUG
RNAcentral lists this ribosomal RNA (468 nucleotides) under uncultured bacterium. RNAcentral describes it as "partial 16S ribosomal RNA". It matches the Rfam family "Bacterial small subunit ribosomal RNA", at positions 28 to 507 of the family's 1533-position model. The record is from RNAcentral.